UUCUAUGUAAGAGCAAGCGAGUUCCACAGCGCGGGGAGGCCAGUGGAGAGGAGCGCGGCCUUGCCUGGCUCAUGUCCUGUUUCCAGCUUGCCCUGAAAACGAAUUACUAAAUCCAUGGAGGAAGAGCUUGGGGCCUGCCUGGUCCUCGGCCACAGUGGGGCUGGGGCCUGUGACUGCGUGUGCAGAGGGUCCGCGCCCAGGGCCCGGGAAAGGGGCUGCGCUGCCCCGAGCGAGUCCCCGGGCGCCCCCAGCCUGCUGCAGCCACCUCGGGCUCCACAUUUCGGCCCCUUCUCCUCUCCGCUGCUCUGGGCUCAGCCACCAAGCUCCACGCUGUGGGCAGAAUCCACUGGGGCGCAGGAAACCUCAGCUUCCGCAGCCCACCUGGCCUUCGCAGUCUUCCUCUCCAGGGUUUUAUUUCAACAUGGCCUUUUCUGCUGCGACUCAGCUGUGGUAGGGGCCAAGUUUGGGUGUGUGAGGCCAGGGAGGUGCGUUGUGUUCUCGCGGAAGAGAGAGACGCAGCGAGGGAGCCCGGGCACACGGACCCAGCUCACCAACCGCAGCCAAACCACCAAUUCUGUCCCGUGGCCCUUGGUGACCGGUGACAGGGAGGGAAGGAAACGUGGCCAGCUUCCGCCAGACCACAGGCGAACACAGGUGGGGCGGCCCACUGGCUUGGGCCUAGGAGCUGCAGGAGCAGGGGCCACGGUCCAGCCUGACGCCCCUCUCUUGGGGCAGGAAGUUCCCUCUGUCUGCCGUGAGCAGGGGCACUUGGGAGGGCCCAGCAUAGGACCUCAGGAGCUCCCGGAGCAGCCUCAGCAGCCGCAACCCCUCGACCUUGUCCAGCAUCACGCCCCGGUGCCAGGGAGACAGACCGAAGAAUCCCACCACUGUGCAGGAGAGGAAGCCUACUUUAAUUCUGUUCUUGAAGUAAUGGCAGGUGAAGAUUCGUAUGUCAUAAUUAAUUCCUCACUUCUUAGGAAUCGCAGCGAUUAGCUCUGUCAUUCCUUUGUUAUCAGAGAGAACUGUGAGUCCUGUUAUUCUCACUGCUUCGCCAUCUGUGAGCAUGCGCAGCCCUCGGCUAAGUUUUCUAAAAGGAACAUCACAGCGACUUCCCUGACCUCAGCCAGGACAAAAGCAGGGAGAAGAGGAAUGAAAAGCACAGGAAAACAGGCCAGGGAGUUCAUGGAUGGAAAUGGCAUCACAGGCAACAGCCACUCACGAAGAUGGACGAGGACCCAAGAGAGAACCAGCGCUGCUCUACACCUGCCUGUCAGUUCGUAGUGGAGAGGGGCACUGUCCGCCGAGCCUCCAUCCGUGGAAACGCUCCUCUUCGAGCCCGGCCAUUGCUCUGGCUGGGCCUGGUGAGGAAUGGCCGACAUCACGGACAGUGGCCUUUCCUAGCCCUGACCCUGCAGAGUGCCUCUGGAGCGCAUAGUGCUGGCGGACAGGAAGUCAGCAGAUCGAAGACAGGGUCCUGGCUUCACGGUGGGUGAGCCGUGUGAUGUUUGGGCAAGUCCCUCAUGCUCUGUAAGUCUCUCCACUGAGCUGGGUGUGAACGUGGUGCUCUGUGGCAGUGGCACGUGAUGACUCCUGCAUGGAGUUCUCGUCUCAGCAGGGGCAGUGCCUUGCACCCCGAUUUUCAAGCAGCAACCUGAGAGUCCUGGGAGGCCCGUCUUUUCCCCUCGGUCUUUCUGUUGGCCCCACCACUCACAUAUUUCAGGCCUCACCAAGUCCUGUUAAUCCCAUUUCCAAAAAAUGCCUGGAAGCUUCUACUCCUGGCUCUGCAGCCUCCACCUUUCUCUGAGCUCUGCGGACGCUUCCUCACAUCAGCCCUGGAUGACUCCAGGAGCCUCCAAAGGGAGCCCCUGCUUCCUGUUCCCCUCCCCUGCGACCUGCUGCCCAUGUGCUCCCAAGGGGCUCGUUCCUCCGUGUGGAUGGGAUCGUGUUCCUGCUCCCCUGCCCCACAACCCACUGCCCGUGUGCACCCGAGGGGCACGUUUUUCUGUGUGAGUGGGAUCAUGAGCCUCUUUCCUUGGUAGAUGUUCUCUUUGCGCUGGAAUGAAACCUCAGCUCCCCUGUGACAGGAAGCUCCCCAUGGGCCAGUGCUGGGUUUUGGUCUGUCGGCAUGUGCUCUCCACCCAGAGAAGACUCACAGCUGGCUGCUCCUCUCACCCCUGAGGCUUCACAGUAAACAUCGACUCACAGGAGGGGACCACGUGAUUCCCACCGCGUGUCCUGUUCCCUCCAUGGAGCAUGAGCUUGACCAUGGUACAAAGCACCGCACAGCUGCUUUAACCCUGGGAGAGAAGUGUCUUUAUGAGAUUCUCUGUGUCCCCAGGAAAUGCUGCCUUCUCCUGUGAAGCAGUCAGUGGGCCAGGCCCAGUCCUUAAAGAUGCAGAGAACCCAACAGGCCCCUCUUCUGCUCACAGCUUCACCUUAUGUUAUGCAAAAUCCCCACACCACUAGAGCAUGCUGGCACUGGGUCAUGGGUGCCUGCAUUUCCCGCAAGCUUGUGACUCGGGGUGCGAUACCUCAGCCCGUUUCCAAGCAGCCCCAUGAGAUCAGGGCUUAUUGUGUUUGCUCCAUGUAUCAUGAGGGUGCAUCCUGAGAAGGAGAGACUCGCAGGUGGGUGCAAAUGAUUUGCAGUCACAGAGGAGCCAAGAGCUCCUGACGGGACUAAUGAAAGCAUGCCUCACUUUAGCCCUGGGCCGGGUUCACGCCUCACCUUAGCCCUGGGCCGGGUUCACGCCUCACCUUAGCCCUGGGCCGGGCUGCUGUGUGCCAUGUGCUGUUUCUUCAUCGGGGGGUUUGGGUACAGAAAUACUAAAAAUGAAUCUUG
Molecule: long non-coding RNA, 2839 nt
Filed under: Homo sapiens (human)
Lineage: Eukaryota; Metazoa; Chordata; Mammalia; Primates; Hominidae
Description: non-protein coding lnc-ERMARD-122:1
Source: RNAcentral